GACUCCUACGGGAGGCAGCAGUGGGGAAUUUUGGACAAUGGGGGCAACCCUGAUCCAGCAAUGCCGCGUGAGUGAAGAAGGCCUUCGGGUUGUAAAGCUCUUUUGUCAGGGAAGAAACAGCAGCUCUAACACAGUCUGCGAAUGACGGUACCUGAAGAAUAAGCACCGGCUAACUACGUGCCAGCAGCCGCGGUAAUA
RNAcentral lists this ribosomal RNA (198 nucleotides) under uncultured bacterium. Its description in RNAcentral is "partial small subunit ribosomal RNA". It matches the Rfam family "Bacterial small subunit ribosomal RNA", at positions 334 to 525 of the family's 1533-position model. The record is from RNAcentral.